Molecule: ribosomal RNA, 158 nt
Filed under: Annulatascaceae sp.
Lineage: Eukaryota; Fungi; Ascomycota; Sordariomycetes; Annulatascales; Annulatascaceae
Description: partial large subunit ribosomal RNA
Rfam family: Eukaryotic large subunit ribosomal RNA
Source: RNAcentral
CGGCAACAGCUCAAAUUUGAAAUCUGGCUUAGGCCCGAGUUGUAAUUUGCAGAGGAAGCUUUUGGCGCGGCGCCCCUCCGAGUUCCCUGGAAUGGGACGCCAUAGAGGGUGAGAGCCCCGUACGGUUGGGUGCCAGGCCUCUGUAAAGCUCCUUCGAC